This 1881-nucleotide ribosomal RNA is filed under the name Arcticotantulus pertzovi. Its description in RNAcentral is "SSU rRNA". It matches the Rfam family "Eukaryotic small subunit ribosomal RNA". Lineage: Eukaryota; Metazoa; Arthropoda; Thecostraca; Deoterthridae. The record is from RNAcentral.
CGCCAUGUGUCGGCACGCGGGUAAUUCGAUUUACCUGGUUGUAUCCUGCCAGUAGUCAUAUGCUUUUCUCAAAGACUAAGGCCAUGCACGUUUUAGUAAAUCCUAAUCUAAAGGGAAACCGCGAAUGGCUCAGUAAGCCGGACACAAGUGUUUAUUUGAUCGUAGCAAUACUAGAUGGAUAACUCUGGUAAUUCUAGAGCUAAUACAUGCAAAUUGAGCUCGGACCCUAUUGGCAGCUUGCUGUUGGUAUGGGGAGAGUGCGUUUAUUGGAAGUCAGGUGGCGGUUCGCCGUCACUUGCAGGUGACUAGGGAUAACUAAUGCCGAUCGCGGAGUGUAUACUCAGCGACGUCUCAUUCAAGUGUCUGCCUUAUCAGUUAGAUCGAAGGCCGCGGGCCUAUCGAUGGCAUUGACGGGUAACGGAGAAUCAGGGUUCGGUUCCGGAGAGGGAGCCUGAGAAACGGCUACCACAUCCAAGGAAGGCAGCAGGCGCGCAACUUACCCAUUCCCAGCUCGGGGAGGUAGUAACGAGAAGUACUGAUUCGGGCCAUUGGUCACGAGUCGGAGUGAGGGCAGCCUAAACAGUUUGAUGAGGUGCCAUCGGAGGGCAAGUCUGGUGCCAGCAGCCGCGGUAAUUCCAGCUCCGAUAGUGUAUGCUAAGGCUGCUGCGGUUAAAAAGCUCGUAGUUGGAUCUCGGUUCGAGGCAGGGAGUAGGGCAGCUUUUCUUGUUAACACAGGUUGGCUUGCCUCUCUCUGAGCGAUGAACGAUAUUGCCGUGCGUUCUGGUUGUGUUACUCGUUUUCGGGUUGCCCCAGUCGCCGGCGCGUUUACUUUGAGCAAAAGCCAGUGAUCAAAGCAGACCGUAAGGUCCGAAGUCUCGUGCAUAGAAUGAUGGGAGAUAACCGCCGGAGGUGUAGGGUUGCAUAUUGCGGCUUUGCAUCGCCCGGCGGUAAAUGAUUAAUAGGGACGGACGAGGGCAUUCGUAUUCUGGCGYGAGGGGUGAAAUCCAAUGACCGUCGMAUGACGACCAAAGGCGAAGGCAUUUGCCAAGAAUGUUUUCGUUAAUCAAGAACGAAAGUCAGAGGUUCGAAGGCGAUUAGAUACCGCCCUAGUUCUGACCGUAAACUAUGCCAACCAGCGAUCCGUCGAGUUUGYGAUAUGGACUCGUACGGGCAGCUUCCUUUGCCGGGAAACCGAAGAGUUCGGGUUCCGGGGGGAGUAUGGUUGCAAAGCUGAAACUUAAAGGAAUUGACGGAGGGGCACCACCAGGAGUGGAGCCUGCGGCUUAAUUUGACUCAACACGGGAAAACUCACCAGGGCCCGACACCGUUAAGAUUGACAGAUUGAGAGCUCUUUCUUGAUUCGGUGGGUGGUGGUGCAUGGCCGUCGGAAGUUGGUGGAGUGAUCAGUCAGGUCAACUCCGGUAACGAACGAGACUCUAGCCUACUAAAUAGAGUGCCGAGCCGUUUUAUAUGGUUUGCGCCUUACUCUUCUUAGAGGGACCAAUGGUUUACAGCCAUGCGAAAUGGAGCUAUGACAGGUCUGUGAUGCCCUUAGAUGUCCUGGGCAGCACGCGCGCCACACUGACAAAGCCAAUGGGAUUUAACCGAGUCCGAAAGGAUCGGGAGACCCGCUAAUCUUUGUCGUGUCGGGGAUCGUGCAUUGUAAUUCUUGUACGUGAACGAGGAAUUCCCAGUAAGUGCGAGUCAAGAGCUCGCGUUGACUACGUCCCUGCCCUUUGUACACACCGCCCGUCGCUACUACCGAUUGAACGAUGUAGCCAGCACCACGGACUGAGACAGACCAUUUUAUGGUCUUGUCAAGGGAAGUGGUUCGAGCUCGAUCGUUUAGAGGAAGUAAAAGUCGUAACAAGGUAUCUGUAG